AUGUCUUACGGCUCACCGGAGCUGCUCCAACAACAGAAUGAUCCAUCACAACAGAGUAGUGCCCUGGACGCCGUCUACAGAUUCCUCAGAUCUUCCUCCACACCUCCGAUAACCACCUCUGCCUCAACUGCUUCAACGACCAACCCGAUGAUGUUGAGGUCGACACGGCUACAGCAAAGAGGUUGUACACUUGUUGCAUCACUUAUUACUAUACAUUCAUGUCGAUCCAUUAGGGCUAUUUUGAUUCAACGGAAAAACAUAGCAAUAGGGAAUUUUUCAAUGGCACUCUACUAUUCAAUUAUUCAUGCAUUUUGUUGA
This 318-nucleotide ribosomal RNA is filed under the name Triticum aestivum (bread wheat). RNAcentral describes it as "partial small subunit ribosomal RNA". The record is from RNAcentral. Lineage: Eukaryota; Viridiplantae; Streptophyta; Magnoliopsida; Poales; Poaceae.